UACGAAGGGGGCUAGCGUUGCUCGGAAUCACUGGGCGUAAAGCGCACGUAGGCGGCUUCUUAAGUCAGGGGUGAAAUCCUGGAGCUCAACUCCAGAACUGCCUUUGAUACUGAGGAGCUUGAGUCCGGGAGAGGUGAGUGGAACUGCGAGUGUAGAGGUGAAAUCCGUAGAUAUUCGCAAGAACACCAGUGGCGAAGGCGGCUCACUGGCCCGGUACUGACGCUGAGGAGCGAAAGCGUGGGGAGCGAACAGG
This 253-nucleotide ribosomal RNA is filed under the name uncultured bacterium. RNAcentral describes it as "partial 16S ribosomal RNA". It matches the Rfam family "Bacterial small subunit ribosomal RNA", at positions 524 to 776 of the family's 1533-position model. The record is from RNAcentral.